This 440-nucleotide ribosomal RNA is filed under the name uncultured bacterium. RNAcentral's name for it is "partial 16S ribosomal RNA". It matches the Rfam family "Bacterial small subunit ribosomal RNA", at positions 338 to 795 of the family's 1533-position model. The record is from RNAcentral.
CCUACGGGUGACAGCAGUGGGGAAUAUUCCACAAUGGGGGAAACCCUGAUGCAGCGACGCCGCGUGAAUGAAGAAGUAAUUCGUUAUGUAAAGCUCUAUCAGCAGGGAAGAAAAAGAAGGUAGCUGAGUAAGAAACACUGGCUAACUACGAGCCAGCAGCCGCGGGAAUACGUAGGGGGCAAGCGUUAUCCGGAUUCACUGGGUGUAAAGGGAGCGGAGACGGGAGUGCAAGUAUGAAGUGAAAGGCGGGGGGUCAACCCCCGGACUGCUCAGGAAACUGUACGGCUGGAGUACAGGAGAGGCAAGUGGAAUUCCUAGUGUAGCGGUGAAAUGCGUAGAUAUUAGUAGGAACACCAGUGGCGAAGGCGGCUUACUGGACUGUAACUGACGUUGAGGCUCGAAAGCGUGGGGAGCAAACAGGAUUAGAUACCCUGGUAGUC